Molecule: ribosomal RNA, 449 nt
Filed under: uncultured bacterium
Lineage: Bacteria
Description: partial 16S ribosomal RNA
Rfam family: Bacterial small subunit ribosomal RNA
Source: RNAcentral
AACGAACGCUGGCGGCAUGCCUAACACAUGCAAGUCGAACGAAGCCUUCGGGCUUAGUGGCGCACGGGUGCGUAACGCGUGGGAAUCUGCCCUUUGGUUCGGAAUAACAGUUGGAAACGACUGCUAAUACCGGAUGAUGACGAAAGUCCAAAGAUUUAUCGCCAGAGGAUGAGCCCGCGUAGGCGUGGCUAGUUGGUGUGGUAAAGGCGCACCAAGGCGACGAUCCUUAGCUGGUCUGAGAGGAUGAGCAGCCACACUGGGACUGAGACACGGCCCAAACUCCUACGGGAGGAAGCAGUGGGGAAUAUUGGACAAUGGGCGAAAGCCUGAUCCAGCAAUGCCGCGUGAGUGAUGAAGGCCUUAGGGUUGUAAAGCUCUUUUACCCGGGAUGAUAAUGACAGUACCGGGAGAAUAAGCUCCGGCUACCUCCGUGCCAGCCGCCGCCGUAA